Molecule: long non-coding RNA, 2699 nt
Filed under: Panax ginseng (ginseng)
Lineage: Eukaryota; Viridiplantae; Streptophyta; Magnoliopsida; Apiales; Araliaceae
Description: long non-coding RNA (PGIN_LNC000561)
Source: RNAcentral
AAGUACGGCAACAAAUGGACCCGCAUUGCCUCUAAGGUAAUCAUGGAUUUGCGGCCUUAUCUUUGUAUUUUUUUUUUACACAGUUCUGACAUCUAUGCAAAGUUUAUUACACAAUCUCUCAAAAUUAAAUUUAUCAGUAAUACUUAUCACAAUUAAAAAAAGCGACGUAAAUACAUGUUAUUUUCCUUUUUAUAUAUUUUCUCCCCCUUAUAAAUUUUGUUUGAUGUUCUGGUGCUUUUCUGUCUUUAAUUAUUAGCUUAAUUUAUCAAUUUAAUAUAUUGCUUCUUGUUUACUUGGAUAUUAUGCAUCUUUUAUUAAACUUUGUUCCAUCCCACAAUAAUAAUAUGAACCUUAUUUAUAUGUAUUCAGCUACCAGGAAGAACAGACAAUGAAAUUAAGAACUUCUGGAACACCAGAGUGAAAAAAUGCCAGAAACAUUAGUUACCUAUAUGGCUAUAUACCCAGAAAGUAUAGUGGAGGAUCAAUCCCCUAUUAGUGACAUUAACAAUGAUUCCCCCUGCCCUGACCCCAACAAUAAUUUCACCAUCAUCUCUGAUAACAACCAAAUUCCUCAAACUAACCUACUAUCUUCACUGCAUCAAUUCUCUUCCAUAUCACCACAUUCACCAAGUCCUACAAACCUUUCAACUCAAACUCAACCUUCAAAUCCCCUUUUAUGGCCACUUCAGCAACCACCCUUGGCACCAUACCAUUUCUCAUCACAGAACCAAACAAGUCCCACAUACCAACCAAUACAAUCCUUUCUUCAACAACCCCAGGCUUCACCGAGUCACUAUUCCUCGCUGCACCAGUCAAGACCCACAUACCAAUCAAUGCAAGGCCUUCUUCCGGGCCCUGCUGUGCCAUCUCCGAACUGGCUCUCUUCACCAGACAAAGACCACAUAUCAACAUUAGGACAACAGAGUUCAAUCUGCCAUUCAACUCAUCCUCUCACCAACUCCUCGAUUAGUGCUUCCACACGUCUCCACAGUCCCUUGAUUAUUCUAUCUUCCGGUGUUGGUCAGUUCAGGCCUUUUAGAACGUCGGGUAACAGGUUACCCCGCCCACUGUCAACCCCACUAUUGUCUUCUACAUUGGAUCAUUUUCUCUCUGCCACUCGAGAAUCACCCCAUUCUACUCUCGAGCUGAAUCUGUCAAACCAAGCGAAUUCAGUUUCUCCUCUCAAAUUGAAUUCAAUGACCCAAACAUCUACAAUACCCACAUUAACAAUAAAUUCGUCGACGGCAGGAUCUUCAAAUUCUUCUUCUCUCCAAGUGAGUCCUUUGGACGUGACUUGGCCCUCAAUUUCUCGAAGCUUAUACAACCCAGUCUCACGACGUUCAUCUUCCUCCUUGAUAUCGGAGCUCUCUUCAAUCCAAUCAUCCCCUACAGCAGCCUUAAAACACGCCUCUUAUAUGAAUAUUAGGCAGCAAACUGCAAAAAGCAUGACCUGUUUUGAGUUAUUAGAUGCUUCGUUGCAAGAAGCUCUGACAAAAGGAGUCUCUAAAAACUCAAGGAAAGAAGACUUCUUGGGCCAAAACUUAACCAGAGAAAGCUUGCUUAGUGAAUGUUUGAAAACAAAAGACUUGCUGGAUAACAUUUUGAUGAAAGAAAACUUGUCCAGUGAAAUCUCAAAGACAAGAAUUUCAUUAGAUGAAAACUCAAGAAAAGAAGGCCUAUUGACACAGAGCUUUAUGACCGCCGAUUCAUCAGGUAGUAGUCUGAAUACAGAAAAUUCAUUUCACAAUAGAAGAAGAAAAGAUUUCAUAAAAACAAGCACAGAGAGAGAAGAUUUGUUUGGCAUGGUUACAAAUAAAGGAGAAAGUUUACUGGACCAAAAGUUGAGUGCAGGUGUGUUGGAAGAAGGCACAAGGAGAGAAGGUUUUUUAAUUGAAAGCUUAAACGAAGAGGGGCACAUAUUAGGUGAUAGCUCAAGCGAAGGAUGUUUAUGGAGCGAAAUCUCAAAAAGAGAUGAGUUAACGGAUGGAAGUAUGAGCCAAGGUUUUCAUUCUCUGAUGGAAAACUCAAGGAGGGAACUUUUAUUGGCUUCAAAAGAGCAGAAGCUGAAUGAAUCUGGUCUGUUCUUGGACCAAAGAACUACUUGCGUUCUACUGGAGUCUGGUGGUCUGGGUGGUAAAUUAAGUUGUAUCAAACCCUCAGCAGGUGAGUUCUUGCAUCAUCAGAUAUCUGCUUUCAAUACUAAAUGGGAGUACACCUGAGUGAAUGAUUACCACAGACUUCAGUUAUGCAUUAUCGAGUAUUAUGCUGCUUUUGGAUUGAAGGAAUGGAAUGAAAGACAUGUAUAUAAUAUGUUGUUAAAAUAUACGCAUAUAUACAUCUUGUCUUAAGAUUAUGAUAACUAAAAUCACUGACAUACUAGCUUUCUAUUAAUUUAUUUCAGAAGAAAAACAAAGUAGAGAGGCAGAAGAAGGAGCACAUUAACAACAUGACUGAUGAAUUAUCGAGCCUGCUUGAAUUUUUCCCCACCACCGCUGAAAUCCCUGAAUGGAACCAAGAUAUAACUCCAACAGACCACCAACCACCUUCAGCUGAGUUAGUUGUCAAUAUCACUCCAACUUCUAGCUAGGGAUCAUACCUACUAGAAGAAAAGACCAUUUGUGGAGAAACUUACUGCUACGUUAGGAACAAAAUCAAAUCUUGAUUGUGAAAAUAUUUCUACUUCACUGUGCAGUUAUCUA